GAGAUGAUCCAUGUGGCAAGCCUUCUCCAUGACGAUGUUUUGGAUGAUGCGGAAACAAGGCGUGGUAUACGGUCCCUGAACUCCUUUAUGGGUAACAAGGUUGCUGUGCUUGCUGGAGAUUUCUUAUUGUCCAGAGCAUGUGUAGCACUUGCAUCGCUGAAAGACGUUGAGGUCUUU
Molecule: long non-coding RNA, 177 nt
Organism: Phalaenopsis equestris
Lineage: Eukaryota; Viridiplantae; Streptophyta; Magnoliopsida; Asparagales; Orchidaceae
Exons: 3
Source: RefSeq, a predicted model, not a curated record